This is a long non-coding RNA of Monodelphis domestica (gray short-tailed opossum), 228 nucleotides long. RefSeq lists it as uncharacterized. NCBI's taxonomy places the organism in Eukaryota, Metazoa, Chordata, Mammalia, Didelphimorphia, Didelphidae. The record is from RefSeq and is a predicted model, not a curated record.
GGACAGAGCCCAGGGAGAGAUCCUAGAUACUGAAGGACCCCAGAUCUAAUCUUACAGACAGAUGGUUCAGGAUCACACCAGGAAGCUCAGUAGAUGACAACAAGCCAGCAGAAAGCUCUUCAAGGAAGAAGCGCUCUAACUACUAAAUCCAGAGAGUGCACUGUUGCAGAAAGAUGCCAGAAAACUUACAUUACAUCAAGAUCAAGAAUGAAACUUGCUUGAAGUGAA